AAAGACUUAGUCCUAACCUUACUGUUAAUUUUCGCUAGACAUAUACAUGCAAGUAUCCGCACCCCAGUGUAAAUGCCCUUAAUGUCUCCCCAUUAGACAAAAGGAGCAGGUAUCAGGCACACUAUCUAUGUAGCCCAAAACGCCUUGCUUAGCCACACCCCCACGGGUACUCAGCAGUAAUUAACAUUAAGCAAUAAGUGUAAACUUGACUUAGCCAUGGCGACCCCCAAGGGUUGGUAAAUCUUGUGCCAGCCACCGCGGUCACACAAGAGACCCAAACUAACAGUAGCCGGCGUAAAGAGUGGUAAUAUGUUAUCCAACCAAAUUAAGACCCAAACACAGCUAAGCUGUCACAAGCCCAAGAUGUUCCUAAAAUCACCAUAAAAAUGGUCUUAACACCCACGAUCAAUUUCACCCCACGAAAGCUAAGGCACAAACUGGGAUUAGAUACCCCACUAUGCUUAGCCUUAAAUCAUGAUACUUACCCCACCUAAGUAUCCGCCCGAGAACUACGAGCACAAACGCUUAAAACUCUAAGGACUUGGCGGUGCCCUAAA
This 557-nucleotide ribosomal RNA is filed under the name Struthio camelus (African ostrich). RNAcentral's name for it is "partial 12S ribosomal RNA". It matches the Rfam family "Bacterial small subunit ribosomal RNA", at positions 8 to 925 of the family's 1533-position model. The record is from RNAcentral. Lineage: Eukaryota; Metazoa; Chordata; Aves; Struthioniformes; Struthionidae.